Molecule: ribosomal RNA, 253 nt
Filed under: uncultured bacterium
Lineage: Bacteria
Description: partial 16S ribosomal RNA
Rfam family: Bacterial small subunit ribosomal RNA
Source: RNAcentral
UACGUAGGGUGCAAGCGUUAAUCGGAAUUACUGGGCGUAAAGCGUGCGCAGGCGGCUAUGCAAGACAGAUGUGAAAUCCCCGGGCUCAACCUGGGAACUGCAUUUGUGACUGCAUGGCUAGAGUGUGUCAGAGGGAGGUGGAAUUCCGCGUGUAGCAGUGAAAUGCGUAGAGAUGCGGAGGAACACCGAUGGCGAAGGCAGCCUCCUGGGAUAACACUGACGCUCAGGCACGAAAGCGUGGGGAGCAAACAGG